RNAcentral lists this transfer RNA (72 nucleotides) under Heterocephalus glaber (naked mole-rat). It matches the Rfam family "tRNA". Rfam says of the family: Transfer RNA (tRNA) molecules are approximately 80 nucleotides in length. Their secondary structure includes four short double-helical elements and three loops (D, anti-codon, and T loops). Lineage: Eukaryota; Metazoa; Chordata; Mammalia; Rodentia; Bathyergidae. The record is from Rfam by way of RNAcentral.
GGGGCUGUAGAUCAGUGUUAGAACACUUGCCUAGCAUGCACAAGGCUCUGGGUUCAAUUCCCAGUACUACCA